This 301-nucleotide ribosomal RNA is filed under the name uncultured bacterium. RNAcentral's name for it is "partial 16S ribosomal RNA". It matches the Rfam family "Bacterial small subunit ribosomal RNA", at positions 509 to 807 of the family's 1533-position model. The record is from RNAcentral.
CAGUAGCCGCGGGAAAACGAAGGGUGCAAGCGUUACUCGGAAUUACUGGGCGUAAAGCGUGCGUAGGUGGUUGUUUAAGUCUGCUGUGAAAGCCCUGGGCUCAACCUGGGAAUUGCAGUGGAUACUGGGCGACUAGAGUAAGGUAGAGGAUAGUGGAAUUUCCGGUGUAGCAGUGAAAUGCGUAGAGAUCGGAAGGAACAUCUGUGGCGAAGGCGACUAUCUGGGCCAUUACUGACACUGAGGCACGAAAGCGUGGGGAGCAAACAGGAUUAGAUACCCCAGUAGUCCCUGUCUCUUAUAC